RNAcentral lists this ribosomal RNA (2028 nucleotides) under Triticum aestivum (bread wheat). RNAcentral describes it as "partial small subunit ribosomal RNA". Lineage: Eukaryota; Viridiplantae; Streptophyta; Magnoliopsida; Poales; Poaceae. The record is from RNAcentral.
AUGGCACCGGAUCAAUACCAUGAGCAAGGUAACAGGAGUGGUCACAACAUCAGCAGCAAAUCCUUUCAAAGAUGUGAGGGCUGCGAUGCACAUUACUAUUGGUGUCAUAUGGAUGAUACCCAGAAGUAUUUCUUUAAGUGCAUGGUUGGCAAUUUCCAAGAUAAAAUGACCAUACCACAGAAGUUUGUGGAGAAUUUCAAAGGUCAGAUCUCUGAAGUUAUCAAGCUAGAAGCACCUGAUGGAAACAUAUUCAACGUUCAGGCUACCAAGGAUCUAAACAAGAUAGUCCUGGGAUCUGGAUGGGGGGUAUUUAUCAGCUUUUACGAAGUAAAAGAGGGCUAUUUCCUGGUCUUUAGGUACAUGGGGGCUUCUCACUUCAAAGUUCUGGUAUUUGAUUUUGCAAGUUGCUGUGAGAAGGAAGUGUUACACGUUCUCAUGAACUACGGUCCUAAUGCCCAAGAAAAAGACAUUCGUCUUGAUCAAUCGCCGCUGAGUGAAAGGCGAUGCCAGAAUGGUGGAUCAAGCAACGGUGGGUCCCAUCGAAGGUGCGAGCACUGCGAUGUGCAUUUCUAUUGGCAUCACAUGGAUGAUAGGCAGAAGCAUUUCUUGAGGCUCAUGUUUGGCGAUUUCCGUCAAGAAAUCAGUAUACCAGAGAAAUUUGUGAACAAUUUCAGAGGCAGGAUAUCUAAAGUUAUGAAGCUAGAAGCUCCUGACGGAAACGUAUACAACAUUCAGGUUAUCAAUGAUCUGAACAAGAUAUUCCUUAGAUCUGGAUGGGCAGCAUUUGCCAGUGCUUAUGAACUAAAAGAGCAUGACUUGCUGGUGUUCAGAUACAUUGGGGACUCUCACUUUAAAGUCCUAAUAUUUGACCCAAGUGGUUGUGAGAAAGAAUUAUUCCACAUUGUCAUGAACCACACUCCUAAUCUACCAGAAACGGGCAUAUCUCAUGAUCAGCCAUUCCUCAAAGAAACAAGGCGUCACUGCGAAUCACGUGAUUAUAACAGUAGGAAAACUAAAAAGAUGACUCCGCUGGACUCUCCUUCACCGAGAUCAGCUGAAGGUGUCAAAUCUCCAGAGGACACCCUGAAUUCAGGUGGCCUUCGGGAAACCACCAAGCCUCGCUAUGUUCUAGCAACGGGGUGCAAUCUGACUACAGCGCAGAAGGCAGAAGUCGACGCGCUUGUGAGGAAAGUUAGGCCUGCUAUUCCGUUUUACAUCAAAGCCAUGAGCAAGACAAGUAUCUCUGGAUCUCUGGUCAUCUGCAAGGAUUACGCUGCCAAAUACCUUCCAGAUGGAGACCAAUUCAUCACACUCUGCCAUCCUCAUAAGAGCAACAUAUGGAUAGACAAUUUGAAGGUUAUCACUGAUGGUUCCCGCAUGCUUUCUGUUGGCUGGUCUUGCUUCGUUCUCCACAACGAGUUGCGGGAAAGUGACAUCUGCCUAUUUGAAGUAUGGAAAAGCGACGGUGACGUGACAAUGGUUGUUCAUUCUCUCGAAGGAGGUCAUCACCUACAAGGGAAAGAGCCCGAAUCUCAGAAAAAGCGUAGAUAUCCAGUUAAGGCCGAGGCCACCGAGGAUGAGGAGAGUGACAAGGAACAUGCUGAGUCCAACUACUACUACUCAAGGCACGCCAAUGGCCUGACCAGCGAUGAGCAAGAGGAUAUAUUCAGGUCAGCGUUGAUCCAACAGGGCAAUCCCGUGUACGUCGCCGUCCUGGGGAAGAAUCACGUUAAAAAGGGGAACAACUUGCUGACCAUCCCUAGAAAGUUUGCAGCAAAGCAUCUCGCGGCGAGGUCACAUGACAUCCUGCUCCUGAGACCCAACAGGGGAAAGAAGUGGUGCGUGAGGUACUACUACCAUUCGAGCUUAAGGGGUUUCAGCAACAGUCCAUGGACCAAGUUCGUCCGCGACAACAAGCUGCAGGAGGGCCACGUCUGCGUCUUCGAGCUGAUCAAAGGGGUGCGUAAGGCGACGAUGAUUGUCCACGUGUUCAGGAAGGUUGAUGGCAGGCUUGUUCUGCUGGACUAA